This 406-nucleotide ribosomal RNA is filed under the name uncultured bacterium. RNAcentral describes it as "partial 16S ribosomal RNA". It matches the Rfam family "Bacterial small subunit ribosomal RNA", at positions 30 to 526 of the family's 1533-position model. The record is from RNAcentral.
AUUGAACGCUGGCGGCAGGCCUAACACAUGCAAGUCGAACGAGUGGCGGACGGGUGAGUAAUGUCUGGGAAACUGCCCGAUGGAGGGGGAUAACUACUGGAAACGGUAGCUAAUACCGCAUACCAUCGGAUGUGCCCAGAGGGGAUGAGCUAGUAGGUGGGGUAAGGGCUCACCUAGGCGACGAUCCCUAGCUGGUCUGAGAGGAUGACCAGCCACACUGGAACUGAGACACGGUCCAGACUCCUACGGGAGGUAGCAGUGGAGAAUAUUGCACAAGGGGCGCAAGACUGAUGCAGCCAUGCCGCGUGUAUGAAGAAGGCCUUCGGUUUUUAAAGUACUUUCAGCGGGGAGGCGUUACCCGCAGAAGAAGCACCGGCUAACUCCGUGCCAGCAGCCGCGGUAAUUC